Mauremys reevesii (Reeves's turtle) is the source of this 548-nucleotide long non-coding RNA. RefSeq lists it as uncharacterized. Lineage: Eukaryota; Metazoa; Chordata; Testudines; Geoemydidae. The record is from RefSeq and is a predicted model, not a curated record. The transcript is spliced from 3 exons.
CGCCCGAGGCAGAGCUGACCGGUACGAGGGGGCUGAUUCGCCCGCUCUCGCGCUCACCUAACCGCCGGCCGCAGACUACCUCCGCCGGCUUCCACCACCUUCCGCUUCCGCAGGGUUCUACGCAUGCGCGCACGGAUGGCGGUUGGCGGAGUAGGGACACGCUGAGCGCAGCGGCCAACCGCAGUGAGGUCGGGAGCGGCACCGUGCUUGCUGCUGGCUCUUCGCCUUGUCCUGUUGCUCCAAGACCUGAGAUCAAGAGCAGAUGAAGCAGCAGCAGAAACAUACUAAUCUUACUUGUGUGGACUUUUAAUUUAAAUGUUCUGCAGUUUCAGAUUUCAGCUUCUCAGAAUCUAUGGAAAAUCAGGCCCCACAUAUCUGAAGCUGGGCAACCAAAAAUGGAGGCACCUGAAUUUAGUGCACACUUCUGAAAAUUUGGCCCUCAGAGACUUGUUGAAGCUCAAAUUGUGAAUCACUGGCAUAGGUGAGAACAGCAUCUUGUGAAUUUUCCACCAUAUCACCCUGUCUCUCUUGUGUAAGGGAAAAAUAAC